GAAAAUUUUCCAUGGUAUGUACAUGACACUGAAAUAUCAAAUAUUUCAUCUGAAGCAUUAAUAUUCAAAUCUGUCUUUUUGACAACUGCUACAGAUUCAAUUAAAAUAUUAUUUGCACAAACAUCAUUUGCUGAUUCAGUUUCUUUAGCAUGAUUAUCAAAUGUUUUCUGCUGUAUGCAAGGAAUAUCUGCAUGCAUGCAGAAUUUUUCCAAUCCAGAAAAACAUUAUUCAGAAAAGCAGCUACCAUCCUCCUUGUUACUUCUAGUGGUCUUUUUUCCCUUCGUCCCAAAAUGUGAUGGUAAUUCCUUACUGACAACCUGUUCACAUCUCACAAUAAACACUCAUUUUAGCAGUGAGACCUGUACUUUGAAAGAAGGUGAAGCAAAGUAACUUAUUAUAGCAAACUAGGCAUGCUAAUUUAUUUAUUAAUAAUUCCAAUUGAACACCAGUAGUAGUAAUGUUUGAAAAAUUAUGACAUUAUCUGUUGUCAAAAAUUUAUCUUCAAAGUAGCUCAUUUUUCUUUCAGCUUUGCAGUGUUUUUUACAAAUGUCAUCGUUUUGGUCAUUACUUACAAACUGA
Molecule: long non-coding RNA, 579 nt
Filed under: Androctonus crassicauda
Lineage: Eukaryota; Metazoa; Arthropoda; Arachnida; Scorpiones; Buthidae
Source: RNAcentral